Long non-coding RNA from Mastomys coucha (southern multimammate mouse), 203 nucleotides. RefSeq lists it as uncharacterized. NCBI's taxonomy places the organism in Eukaryota, Metazoa, Chordata, Mammalia, Rodentia, Muridae. The transcript is spliced from 2 exons. The record is from RefSeq and is a predicted model, not a curated record.
CCACGUGUAUGACAGGUGUUGGAUGAGGUCGGAGAAGGACAUCGGCUCCCCCGGACCUGUAGUCACGGAUGGUUGUCAGUCACCAUGUGGUUGCUGAGGAGAUUCAAACCCAGGAGAUCAACCACUGUUUUUAGACUCUCAAAGCUUCUUCCAGAACCUCAACACAUCGACAAGAAAACAUAAAUUCAAAUGUUAAACACACA